RNAcentral lists this ribosomal RNA (327 nucleotides) under uncultured bacterium. RNAcentral describes it as "bacterial SSU rRNA". It matches the Rfam family "Bacterial small subunit ribosomal RNA", at positions 28 to 334 of the family's 1533-position model. The record is from RNAcentral.
GACGAACGCUGGCGGCGCGCCUAACACAUGCAAGUCGAACGGAGUUAUUUCAGCAGAAGCUUUCGGGUGGACGCAGGGAUAACUUAGUGGCGAACGGGUGAGUAACACGUGAGGAACCUGCCCUGGAGUGGGGGAUAACAGUUGGAAACGACUGCUAAUACCGCAUAAGACCACAAGGCCGCAUGACCAAGGGGUCAAAGGAGCAAUCCGGUAUAGGACGGGUUCGCGUCCCAUUAGCUAGUAGGCGGGGUAAAGGCCCACCUAGGCAACGAUGGGUAGCCGAGCUGAGAGGCUGAACGGCCACACUGGGACUGAGAUACGGCCCAG